AUGGCCGGCACGGUGGAGGACAGCGGGAAGACGGCGCCGUCGUCUCCGGCCGGGCUCCGCGGCGCCGACCUGGGCCUGAGGGUGCUGCUGUUCGCCGUCUCGCUGUCGGGGCUCGUCGUGCUGGUCACCGCCAAGCAGACGGAGAUGGUGCCCCUGGUCCUGACGCCGCCGUUCAGAUUCGGGCCGGUCCCCGCCCAGUUCAAAGACUCGCCAGCGCUCAUUUAUCUUCUUGUGGCGCUGUGCAUGACGAGCUUGUAUAGCCUUGUGACGGCCGCCAGCUCCGUCAAGUCCAUGUCAAGCUCGGCUUCCUGUGCCAAGGGGAUCUUCGUCCUCAUUCUGCUUGAUGUGGUUUACGCGGGCAUCAUGGCGUCGGCGACGGGCACGGCGGGGGCCGUGGCCUGGGUGGGGCUGAAGGGCAACUCGCACACGCGGUGGAACAAGAUCUGCAACAUCUACGACAAGUUCUGCCGCCACAUCGGCAGCGCCACCUGCCUCGGCCUCAUCGCUUCCAUCCUCCUCGUCCUCCUCGUCGUCCUCAACGCCUACUCCCUCUACCGGAGAAGCCGCUGA
This 570-nucleotide ribosomal RNA is filed under the name Triticum aestivum (bread wheat). RNAcentral's name for it is "partial small subunit ribosomal RNA". Lineage: Eukaryota; Viridiplantae; Streptophyta; Magnoliopsida; Poales; Poaceae. The record is from RNAcentral.